GGAGAUCAUUAAUACAAAAGUAUUAUAUAAACCAAACCUGAUGUUGCCAGCUCCUUCAAUGAAUGCAGCAGUGUGACAGCCAACAAUCAAAAGUAACAAGAUAUCGAGGAAAUGCAGAAGGCAAAAAACUGCGUAGGAGAUCAUUAAUACAAUAGUAUUAUAUAAACCAAGCCUGAUGUUGGCCGCUCAUUCAAAGAAUGCAGCAGUGUGACAGCCAGCAAUCAAAAGUAACAAGAUGUCGAGGAAAUGCAGAGUGUAAUAAACUGUGUAGGAGAUUAUGAUUGCAAUAGAAUAAAAUCGACCAAGCCUGAAGUCCUUCAAUGCACGCAGCAGUGUGACAGCCAGCAAUCAAAAGUUACAAGAUAUCGAGGAAAUACAGAAGGCAAAGAAGCAGAUGUCAUCAAAGAAGAUCUUUGUUCCUGCAAUGUUUCCGCAGACGAUACAUCCAACAGAGCGAAGUGGAAGGAAAAGACUCGGAAUAAAGACCCCACCACCAUAUGGGAACAAUGCAAGGGAGAGAGAGAGAAUAUAAUGUUAUAUUUUUAUUUUUUGAUAACAUAAAAUAAA
This 567-nucleotide long non-coding RNA is filed under the name Pectinophora gossypiella (pink bollworm). Its description in RNAcentral is "uncharacterized LOC126380838". The record is from RNAcentral. Lineage: Eukaryota; Metazoa; Arthropoda; Insecta; Lepidoptera; Gelechiidae.